CCUACGGGUGGCAGCAGUGAGGAAUAUUGGUCAAUGGCCGUAAGGCUGAUCCAGCCAAGUAGCGUGAGGGAAGACUGCCCUAUGGGUUGUAAACCCCUUUUAUGCGGGGAUAAAGGUGAACACGUGUGGCUGUUUGAAGGUACCGCACGAAUAAGGACAGGCUAAUUCCGUGCCAGCCGCCGCGGUAAUACGGUAGGUCCGGGCGUUAUCCGGAUUUGUUGGGUUUAAAGGGAGCGUAGGCCGGUCUUUAAGCGUGCCGUGAAAUUUUGUGGCUCAACCUUGAGAGUGCGGCUCGUACUGGAGACCUGGAGUGCGCUGAAGGCAGGCGGAAUUCGAGGUGUAGCGGUGAAAUGCUUAGAGAUCACGAAGAACCCCGAUUGCGAAGGCAGCCUGCCGCAGCAAUACUGACGCUGAAGCUCGAAAGCGCGGGGAUCGAACAGGAUUAGAUACCCGAGUAGUC
Molecule: ribosomal RNA, 460 nt
Filed under: uncultured bacterium
Lineage: Bacteria
Description: partial 16S ribosomal RNA
Rfam family: Bacterial small subunit ribosomal RNA
Source: RNAcentral